UCUCGGUAGCAGUGAAUGGGCCAAAUCGGGAAAUAGACAGAGGAGAUUAGCAUCACCCCUGUGCAGGGAUGGCAUGCAAAUUCACAAAGCAGUCUAUCUUCUC
Small nuclear RNA from Rattus rattus (black rat), 103 nucleotides. The record is from RefSeq and is a predicted model, not a curated record. Lineage: Eukaryota; Metazoa; Chordata; Mammalia; Rodentia; Muridae.